UACGGGGGGGGGCAAGCGUUGUUCGGAAUUACUGGGCGUAAAGGGCUCGUAGGCGCCAACUAAGUCAGACGUGAAAUCCCUCGGCUUAACCGGGGAACUGCAUCUGAUACUGGAUGGCUUGAGUUCGGGAGAGGGAUGUGGAAUUCCAGGUGUAGCGGUGAAAUGCGUAGAUAUCUGGAGGAACACCGGUGGCGAAGGCGGCAUCCUGGACCGACACUGACGCUGAGGAGCGAAAGCCAGGGGAGCAAACGG
This 252-nucleotide ribosomal RNA is filed under the name uncultured bacterium. RNAcentral's name for it is "partial 16S ribosomal RNA". It matches the Rfam family "Bacterial small subunit ribosomal RNA", at positions 524 to 775 of the family's 1533-position model. The record is from RNAcentral.